This 457-nucleotide ribosomal RNA is filed under the name uncultured bacterium. RNAcentral's name for it is "bacterial SSU rRNA". It matches the Rfam family "Bacterial small subunit ribosomal RNA", at positions 28 to 507 of the family's 1533-position model. The record is from RNAcentral.
GAUGAACGUUGGCGGCGUGCCUAAUACAUGCAAGUCGAACGGAGAUUGUAGCAAUACGGUCUCAGUGGCGAACGGGUGAGUAACGCGUUGGUGACCUGCCCCGAAGUGUGGAAUAACAGAUCGAAAGAGCUGCUAAUACCGCAUAAUAUCCAGAGGACUAGAUGCCUUGGAUAAAGGAUUUAUUCGCUUCGGGAGGGGCCUGCGUCCCAUCAGCUAGUUGGUAAGGUAAUGGCUUACCAAGGCUAUGACGGGUAGGGGACCUGAGAGGGUGGCCCCCCACAAUGGAACUGAAACACGGUCCAUACACCUACGGGUGGCAGCAGUAGGGAAUAUUAGUAAUGGGCGAAAGCCUGAACUAGCAACGCCGCGUGUGCGAAGAAGGCCUUCGGGUUGUAAAGCACUUUUGAGAGGAUGAGGAAGGACGGUACUCUCAGAAUAAGUCUCGGCUAACUACGUG